UACGGAGGUCCCAAGCGUUGUUCGGAUUUACUGGGCGUAAAGGGUGCGUAGGUGGUUGAGAAAGUCUGAUGUGAAAGCCCCGAGCUCAACUCGGGAACUGCAUUGGAUACUACUUGACUUGAGGAUCGGAGGGGAGACUGGAAUUCUCGGUGUAGCAGUGAAAUGCGUAGAUAUCGAGAGGAACACCAGUGGCGAAGGCGAGUCUCUGGACGAUUCCUGACACUGAGGCACGAAAGCUAGGGGAGCAAACAGGAUUAGAUACCCUGGUAGUCCUAGCCGUAAACGGUGCACACUUGCUGUAGGCGGAUUCGACCCCGUCUGUGGCGGAGCAAACGCGUUAAGUGUGCCGCCUGGGGAGUACGGUCGCAAGAUUAAAACUCAAAGAAAUUGACGGGGGCCUGCACAAGCGGUGGAGUAUGUGGCUUAAUUCGAUGCAACGCGAAGAACCUUACCUGGCCUUGACAUGCAUCUCUAAGUGUGUGAAAGCACAUGACCCUUCGGGGAAUUUGCACAGGUGCUGCAUGGCUGUCGUCAGCUCGUGUCGUGAGAUGUUGGGUUAAGUCCCGCAACGAGCGCAACCCUCAUGUCUUGUUGCCACUUCCGCAUCAGCGGAAAGCACUCUAGACAGACUGCCUCGUUUCAACGAGGAGGAAGGUGGGGAUGACGUCAAGUCAGUAUGGCCCUUACGGCCAGGGCUGCACACGUACUACAAUGCCCAGUACAAUGGGAAGCAAUACCGCGAGGUGGAGCAAAUCCUCAAAACUGGGCCCAGUUCAGAUUGUAGUCUGCAACUCGACUACAUGAAGUCGGAAUCGCUAGUAAUGGCGCAUCAGCUACGGCGCCGUGAAUACGUUCCCAGGCCU
RNAcentral lists this ribosomal RNA (863 nucleotides) under uncultured bacterium. Its description in RNAcentral is "SSU rRNA". It matches the Rfam family "Bacterial small subunit ribosomal RNA", at positions 524 to 1381 of the family's 1533-position model. The record is from RNAcentral.